GAUGAACGCUGGCGGCGUGCCUAAUACAUGCAAGUCGAGCGAACAGACGAGGCGCUUGCUCCUUCCACGUUAGCGGAGGACGGGUGAGUAACACGUAGGUAACCUCCCUAUCAGACUGGGAUCACUUCGAGAAACCGGCGCUAAUACCGGAUAAUAUUUCGAACCGCGUGGUUCGAUGGUAAAAGAUGGCUUUGCUAUCACUUAUAGAUGGACCUGCGCCGUAUUGGCUGGUUGGUACGGUAACAGCUUACCAAGGCAACCAUUCGUAGGCGACCUGAUAGGGGGGUAGGCGACAUGGGAGCGGAGACACGGUCCAGACGCCUACGGGAGGCAGCAGUAUGGAAUCGGCCGCAAUGGGCGAAAGCAUUACGGAGCAAGGCCGCGUGAGUGAUGAAGGUCUUCGGAUCGUAAAACUCGGUUAUUAGUUAAGAACAAACGUGGAAGUAACUGUGCACGUCGUGACGGUACCUAAUCAGAAAGCCACGGCUAACUACGUG
This 497-nucleotide ribosomal RNA is filed under the name uncultured bacterium. RNAcentral's name for it is "partial 16S ribosomal RNA". It matches the Rfam family "Bacterial small subunit ribosomal RNA", at positions 28 to 507 of the family's 1533-position model. The record is from RNAcentral.